Phasianus colchicus (ring-necked pheasant) is the source of this 1723-nucleotide long non-coding RNA. NCBI's taxonomy places the organism in Eukaryota, Metazoa, Chordata, Aves, Galliformes, Phasianidae. The record is from Ensembl.
AUGGGGAUCUUGGGGUGGCCGUGGGGCUCCUCGGGUGGCCAUGGGGCUCUUGGAGUGGCCGUGGGGUUCAUGGGGUGGCCAUGGGGCUCUUGGGUUGGCCAUGGGGUCAUGGGGUGGCCAUGGGGUUCAUGGGGUGGCCAUGGGGCUCUUGGGUGGCUAUGGGGCUCUUGGGUGGACAUGGAAGGACCACUGGUGGCCAUGGGGUUCAUGGGGUGGCCAUGGGGUUCAUGGGGUUGCCGUGGGGCUUUUGGGUUGACAUGGAGGGACCAUUGGUGGCCAUGGGGUCAUGGGGUGGCCAUGGGGUUCAUGGGGUGGCCAUGGUUUUCUAGAGUGGCCAUGGGGCUCUUGGGGUGGCCGUGGGGUUCAUGUGGUGGCCAUGGGGCUCAUGGGGUGGCCAUGGGGCCUUUGGGGAGGCUGUGGGGUUCAUGGGGUGGCCGUGAGGUUCAUGGGGUGGCCGUCGGGCUUUUGGGGUGGCCAAGGGGUAUAUGGGGUGGCCACGGGGUUCUUGGGUGGCCAUGGGGCUCGUGGAGUGCCUGGAGGGAAGAACAAAGACUACGUGGUGGACCCAAAGGGGCUUUUGGUAGCCACAGCACCCAGGUAGCCACAGUGGGCACUUUGGUAGCCACAAGGGGCCCUUUGGUAGCUACAAGGGACCCUUUAGUAGCCACAGCAACCUUUGGUAGCCAUGUGGGGCCCUUUAGUAGCCACAGCAACCUUUGGUAGCCACAUGGGGCCCUUUAGUAGCCACGGCAACCUUUGGUAGCCACAUGGGGCCCUUUAGUAGACCCAGCACCGUUUGACAGCCCCAGCAUCCUUUGUUAGCCACAAGGGGCCCUUUGGUAGCCACAGCAUCCUUUAGUAGCCCAAGAACCCUUUAGUAGCCAUGUGGAGCCCUUUAGUAGACCCAGCACCGUUUGACAGCCCCAGCACCCUUUGUUAGCCACAAUGGCCCCUUUAGUAGCCACAGCAUCCUUUAGUAGCCACAGCAACCUUUGUUAGCCACAAGGCCCCUUUAGUAGCCACAGCAUCCUUUAUUAGCCCAAGAACCCUUCGGUAGCCACAAGGACCCCUUUGGUAGCCACAGCAACCUUUAGUAGCCCAAGAACCCUUUAGUAGCCACAAGGCCUCUUUAGUAGCCACAGCAACCUUUGGUAGCCACGUGGGGCCCUUCAGUAGCCCCAGCACCAUUUGACAGCCCCAGCACCCUUUGUUAGCCACAAGGCCCCUUUAGUAGCCACAGCAACCUUUAGUAGCCCAAGAACCCUUUGGUAGCCACAAGGGCCCCUUUGGUAGCCACAGCAACCUUUAGUAGUCCAAGAACCCUUCAGUAGCCACGUGGGGCCCUUUGGUAGCCACAAGGGACCCUUUAGUAGCCACAGCAACCCUUGUUAGCCACGUGGGGCCCUUUAGUAGCCCCAGCACCGUUUGACAGCCCCAGCACCCUUUGUUAGCCACAAGGGGCCCCUUUAGUAGCCACAGCAACCUUUAGUAGCCACAGCACCCUUUGGUAGCCACGUGGGGCCCUUUAGUAGCCACAGCAUCCUUUAGUAGCCCAAGAACCCUUCGGUAGCCACAAGGGCCCCUUUGGUAGCCACAGCAUCCUUUAGUAGCCCCAGCACCCUUUGUUAGCCACAAGGGCCCCUUUGGUAGCCACAGCAACCUUUAUUAGCCCAAGAACCCUUCGGUAGCCACAAGGGCCCCUUUGGUAGCCACAGCAUCCUUU